GAGGAUGGGAAGAGCGAGAACUAAAAAUAGAGAACUCUUUUAUUGGAGUUUUGCUUGAUUGAGGAAUAGAAAAACAAGGCAAUGAUUAUGCCUUGUAGUAGAUUAUAGCACUUUUAAUUUGGAGUUAUGUGAUGAUUUUUUUAAAAAGAUCUUAUUAAGGCAUGCUGUGUGCCAAUUAGAAUGAUCCACUGGAGAGAGAAAAAAAUUGCUGAUGCAACAGAGAGAAAACUAUAGUGCAGAACCAAUUUCCCUGAAAAAAUGAAUGGGAAUGGAAUCCAGGACACAGAUGGAAGGACCGACUAACUGGGACCACAGAUUGUCUCCUACCAGAACAAGAAUUAUAUGGGAUAGAAGCAGACUAAGGAACUUCAAUAUGGCAGACCAAGGCACCAGCAGUGAACCCAUGUUACUGACAGUGAAUCCACAUGGACCUGCAGCAACCUCAAUUCUUGCCUCCUCAGAAGGAAGAAUUUGACUGAGGGCCAUAGGCAGAAGUUUUUGCCCAGGUCAAGGCUAACUCAUGAUGUGGAAGAUGUUGCUGUUAUUGCAAAUGGCCCUGCUGCUUCAUCCAAAGACCACUAGCAGCAAUUUUAAGACUCAAAUACCUAUAAGAAUCACAGCAGGUACUUGUUAGAAGUGAAAAUAUCUGGACCCACUCCCAGCAGUUCUCAUUCAGGUACUCUCUGGAGGGGGAUGGGUGUGAGCUCAGAACUUAUAUUUUGGAAAAACACCUUAGGUCAUUUGAUUUAGCUAAGUAGGAGGAUCAAAUUUUGAGAAAUAUCAAGGUGGAAUAAAAUAUAUGAACCUGAGAAAAUUAGAAUAGUGGCAACAGUAAUUGUGGUAGAGUAGAGUAGAAGAGUUGGAGAGAAAGAAUAUGUAUGCAUGUGUUUAUUAAAGGAGAAGAAUAGAUGAAAAGGAAGUGCAUGCCUGGCCCUGGCCUUGACCCUGGUGCUACAGCCUCCCAUACAACUUCAUUUCCAAACCUGCUGCCUGUCAGCCUUGCAUCUGAGGGGAAUACUACUUCAACCAUUCUAUUCUUUUAAAAUAAAAUUGAUUUAAAUUGGGAUAACUUAAUAAGUUAAUUACCUAUAAAUGAAAUUAUCCCCCUAUAUUUCUUUGCCAGACAUGCAUUUAUACUCUUAUUUGGUCAUGUGCUGCUGAUAUCCCAGGAGUUUCAUUCUGUUUGCCCCCAUCAAAAAAACGAUUAAACAUGCAUUUUUAGCAAAUUCUUCUUCAAGCCCCUUUGCAGAAUGUUAGUAGAUUUUUAAUAAUGUUUCAAAUAAAGAAAUAUAUUCAACAUAUUUCUUCGAUUUCUCUUAGGAGAGGUAGAGUCAAUUGAGCGACCUAAGUAAUAAAUGAGCUGCUAAUAUUGUGUCAGGAAAUAUAUAUUAUUGACUUACGGGUCACUCCUCAAAAGAACAAAAUAAAAUAGUCAUGAGUCGAAAUAGGAAAAAUUUUCUAAACAGCUGUUUAAGGCAAGGCAAUCCCAAAGUCUAACAUUCCCAUGGAGAUUGUUCAUGACCUGUACUUGAAAAAAAACAGAUCUAUGCUACUCCUUCCAACAUGAAUAUGAAACAGCAUUUGAAAUGGUGUUCUUCAAAGAACAACUAUGAAAUGUUUCCCAAAAACAAUUAUGUGAAAAAAGUAUUUAACCUUAAAUUGUACAUAAAGAUUUGGAUAGGUUACCGCCUCAUCUCCAGCAGUUAUUCGAUGCCAUAGUUGGUAUCUAUUUGUAACUGGCAUUGGCAUUAUGGUCAACAGGAGUCAUUAAUAACCCAAUAAAGAGUUAAUAGAUGACCUUAGGAACUGACUUUAAAAAUGGGACAUUGAUAUUUUUAAAUGACAUAAAAAUUUUUUUGUUAUUAGAUUUUACUGAUUUUCUUCAUUUUUUAAUUCUAGGAUCUUAUAAAAAUUAAGCAUAAGUGUAUACCUAAUUUCAUAACUGGUUUUCAUGAAAAGAAAACUAAAAGCAAGUACACAGAAAAGGCAGAUCAUGUUUUCUGAAUGUUAGCUGAACUUCUGUUGGCUACAUUCCUCAUACAGGUCAUGUGGGUAAGUUCAACCUAAGUGAAAAUUAGAUUAGGUUUCUAACUACUGUCACUCCCCCAACCCCAUCUAAUGAACUUCCUCACUCCCAGGCCACCCAUCUCCCAGUCAGAAAUCCUAUCAAUCUUUUAUUGGGAGUUUGAGUAGGAUUUAUUGACCACUCAGGAACUCUCAAUAUCUAGAAAGCAAGGAGUACAACACAGUACUGUAAAGUAUAUAAUACAAUGUAUUUACUUUUUAGUUGUUCUCUGUCUUCACAGGCUUAGAUAGAUAUUUUUAAUUAGUACACUUUGGCAUUGAGUGA
Molecule: long non-coding RNA, 2350 nt
Filed under: Callithrix jacchus (white-tufted-ear marmoset)
Lineage: Eukaryota; Metazoa; Chordata; Mammalia; Primates; Cebidae
Description: lncRNA (ENSCJAG00000077196.1)
Source: RNAcentral